ACGCCCACAAGGUCCAGGUUGUGCCUGC
RNAcentral lists this non-coding RNA (28 nucleotides) under Rattus norvegicus (Norway rat). Lineage: Eukaryota; Metazoa; Chordata; Mammalia; Rodentia; Muridae. The record is from RNAcentral.